GCUGGGGCAGGGUGGCAGUAGGGAAGGUAAAGGAAUAACAACAAAAGCUUUAUUGACCAACAGCGUGGAGGCCAGUGUUGUGGGUAUGAAUUGUGUCCCCACCGAAUUCUUACAUUGAAGCCCUAAGCCCCAGCACCUCUGAAUGUGACUGCCUGGACACAGAAUCUUUAAAGAAGUAAUUAAGUAAACAUGAGGCUGUUAAGAUGGGCCCUAAUCCAAUCUGACUGGUGUCCUUAUAAGAAAAUGAAUUUUUGUUUUGUUUUGUUUUUGAGACAGGGUUUUGCAGUGUCACCCAGGCUGGAGUACAAUGGCACAGUCUUGGCUCACUGCAACCUCCGCCUCCCAGGUUCAAGUGAUUCUUCCACCUCAACCUCCCAAGCAGCUGAGAUUACAGGUGCCCGCCACCAUGCCCUGCUAGUUUUUUUUCUUUUUUUCUUUUUUUUUUGUAUUUUUAGUAGAGACAGGGUUUCUUUAUGUUGGCCAGGCUGGUCUCGAACUCCUGACCUCAAGUGAUCCGCCUUCCUUGGCCUCCCAAAGUGUUGGGAUUACAGGCAUGAGCCACUGCUCCUGGGCCAUAGCUCUCUUUUAGAAUUCAGUUUUGAAUAGGUUUACCAAUGUGUUUGGGAAAGAAAAUCCCCUAGAUGUUUCAAAAAGAGUUUGUUGGAAAUUGUCACCUCCAUAACUUACAUCUCUUACUGAGCAGAACUAGCUUCCUGGUAACCAUGAAGUAAUUAAUGAAGAAGAGCAAUCUCAGAUGUUAAUUUUAGACCAGAAGAAGGACUUUAAAAGAGCUUCUCAGAAGAGAAUGGGAUGUAGAAAUUUCCAACAAGGGCAUGCAGGAGUGUGUGUCUGAGAGAGUCUUUUUGGAACUUCUUACUCUCAUUUAUAUUCAUCUGUUUUAUAUAUUGGGUACUGUAGAAGAUUUUAUCUGAAAAACAUAUUCAACUGUGACAGGAGGGGGAGGAGCCAAGAUGGCCGAAUAGGAACAGCUCCGGUCUACAGCUCCCAGCCUGAGCGACGCAGAAGACGGGUGAUUUCUGCAUUUCCAUCUGAGUGAACAUAGAUUCCUUCAGUAAAUAUUGGGAAAACAUUUGCUUCAGGCCCAUUACUGGGUACCGCUUUGAUACAGAGGACACACCAAGGAACAAGACAGAUAGGACCUCUGCCUCUGGUAAGUUUGCAUUCCAGAGGGAGGAGAAGACAAUAAGCAAGCAAGCCAUCAAGACCACGUCAGAUGAGACGAAUAAAGUCAGACAGCUUCCAAGGAGUGGAUGCUUAUGGAGAGAUCACAUGGAGCCUUGUAGCUGAUUUAUAAUCUCAUGGUCCUCAUUCAUACAUCAAACCCCUGAAGGCCUGGCAUUUUUAUCUCCCGACUCAACCUGCAUGCUACCAGAAGCUCGACAAAAUUACGGUGAAUAAGACAUGCUUCUUCCCUUCAAGAAGCUUCUAGUCAAUGGAGGAUAUGUAAGGCAGCAAUCUAACAGCAAUACAACACUAAACGUUCCUUGAGAAAAACACAAACAACAGGCAGAACUCAUGUCUGAGUAGAAGCUUCUUAGAAGAACUGAGUAGAACUUGGAAGAAACAUGUACCUCCUUCACACACAUAAUAUUGUUUUAUACUAUGCUAUCUUGUUGUAGGGGUACGUGUUGAUAUAUAACCCCAUUUUGCAUGUGAAGUCAAUGGGCUCAGUGGGCUCAGAGAGAUACAGUGAUUGAUUUGUUCUAGUUCCUUUUUUUUUUUUUUUUUGAGACAGAGUCUCACUGUGUCACCCAGGCUAGAGUGCGGUGGCUCAAUCUUAGCUCACUGCAGGCUCCACCUCCCAGGUUCAAGCAAUUCUCUGCCUCAGCCUCCCGAGUAGCUGGGAUUACAGGUACACUUUACCAUGCCCAGCUAAUUUUUGUAUUUUUAGUACAGAUGGGGUUUCACCACGUUGGCCAGGCUGGUCUUGAACUCCUGACCUCAAGUGAUUUACCUGCCUCGGCCUCCCAAAGUGCUGGGACUACAGGCGUGAGCCACCACGCUUGGCCUGCUCUAGUUCUUGUAGGUAAUAAGAGAUGGUGUUAAAUUCCUGUAACUAAUAAGAGAUGGGCUCAAAUUCUCCCUUGAACUCUAAGUCUGGCCCCUGGGCCACAUAAAGUAGGUCCUCUAAG
Molecule: long non-coding RNA, 2153 nt
Filed under: Homo sapiens (human)
Lineage: Eukaryota; Metazoa; Chordata; Mammalia; Primates; Hominidae
Description: HSALNT0269030
Source: RNAcentral